RNAcentral lists this ribosomal RNA (468 nucleotides) under uncultured bacterium. RNAcentral's name for it is "partial 16S ribosomal RNA". It matches the Rfam family "Bacterial small subunit ribosomal RNA", at positions 28 to 507 of the family's 1533-position model. The record is from RNAcentral.
GAUGAACGCUGGCGGCGUGCUUAACACAUGCAAGUCGAACGGAAGGGCCCUGAUUUUGUGGGGUGCUCGAGUGGCGAACGGGUGAGUAAAACGUGAGUAUCCUGCCCUUGACUUUCGGAUAACAUCAGGAAACUGGGGAUAAUAUCGGAUAGGAUCUCCUGAUGCAUGGUGGGGGUUGGAGAGUUUCGGCGGUUGGGGAUGGACUCGAGGGUUAUCAGCUUGUUGGUGGAGUAGUUGCUUACCAAGGCUUUGACGGGUAGCCGGCCUUGGAGGGGGACCGGCCACAUGGGGACUGAGAUACGGCCCAGACUCCUACGGUAGGCAGCAGGGGGGAAUAUUGCACAAUGGGCGGAAGCCUGAUGCAGCAGCGCCGCGUGCGUGAUGACGGCCUUCGGGUUGUAAACCGCUGUCGCCUGAGACGAAGCGUGCGUGACGGUAAUGGGUAAAGAAGCACCGGCUAACUACGUG